GAUGAACGCUGGCGGCGUGCCUAACACAUGCAAGUCGAACGGAGAUUACAGACGGAAGUUUUCGGAUGGAAGACUGUAAUUCUUAGUGGCGGACGGGUGAGUAACGCGUGGGCAACCUGCCCUAUACAGGGGGAUAGCAGCUGGAAACGGCUGGUAAGACCGCAUAAGUCGGCGAGACCGCAUGGUUUUGUCGGGAAAUGAGCAAUCAGGUAUAGGAUGGGCCCGCGUCCGAUUAGCCAGUUGGCAGGGUAAAAGCCUACCAAAGCAACGAUCGGUAGCCGGACUGAGAGGUCGGACGGCCACAUUGGGACUGAGACACGGCCCAAACUCCUACGGGAGGCAGCAGUGGGGGAUAUUGCACAAUGGAGGAAACUCUGAUGCAGCGACGCCGCGUGAGUGAAGAAGUAUUUCGGUAUGUAAAGCUCUAUCAGCAGGGAAGAUGAUGACGGUACCUGACUAAGAAGCCCCGGCUAACUACGUGCCAGCAGCCGCGGUAAUACGUAGGGGGCAAGCGUUAUCCGGAUUUACUGGGUGUAAAGGGAGCGCAGGCGGUUUGGCAAGUUGAGAGUGGAAGCAGGGGGCUCAACCCCCUGACUGCUCCCAAAACUGUUAAACUUGAGUAUGGGAGAGGCAGGCGGAAUUCCUAGUGUAGCGGUGAAAUGCUUAGAUAUUAGGAAGAACACCGGUGGCGAAGGCGGCCUGCUGGACCAAAACUGACGCUGAGGCUCGAAAGCGUGGGUAGCAAACAGG
This 750-nucleotide ribosomal RNA is filed under the name uncultured Catonella sp. Its description in RNAcentral is "bacterial SSU rRNA". It matches the Rfam family "Bacterial small subunit ribosomal RNA", at positions 28 to 776 of the family's 1533-position model. Lineage: Bacteria; Bacillati; Bacillota; Clostridia; Lachnospirales; Lachnospiraceae. The record is from RNAcentral.